RNAcentral lists this ribosomal RNA (252 nucleotides) under uncultured bacterium. RNAcentral's name for it is "partial 16S ribosomal RNA". It matches the Rfam family "Bacterial small subunit ribosomal RNA", at positions 524 to 776 of the family's 1533-position model. The record is from RNAcentral.
UACGUAGGUCCCGAGCGUUGUCCGGAUUUAUUGGGCGUAAAGCGAGCGCAGGUGGUUUAUUAAGUCUGGUGUAAAAGGCAGUGGCUCAACCAUUGUAUGCAUUGGAAACUGGUAGACUUGAGUGCAGGAGAGGAGAGUGGAAUUCCAUGUGUAGCGGUGAAAUGCGUAGAUAUAUGGAGGAACACCGGUGGCGAAAGCGGCCCUCUGGCCUGUAACUAACACUGAGGCUCGAAAGCGUGGGGAGCAAACAGG